AGACAACACUGUGGAGAUCCUGAACGUCUUUCGGCCAUUGUGCUGCAGGGGAUGCAGGCAUUUCGGGUUAAACUUUCUGAAGGAGUGCUGGAUUCUGGGCAAAUUUGGUUUCAGCUCUGAGCUGCAUAGGUUAGAAUUAUUUCCCAUUUGUAACACUACAACAGUGUCUCCUCCAUACCUGAAAAUGAUAUUUGGAGCCCAGAAAAGUGAUACUUAGAUGGUGUGGAAGAGCUUCUGUUUGAUUUAGUCAGACUUCACUCACCUUUGUUAAUCUUUGUCCAAACAAAUUAAAGUAUGCUUGCAAAAUAAUGCACCAAGUCUUGCAUGUACCAAUACUUGUUUUGUAGUACGUAACUCUGUCAUUUUCCCUUGUGCUUCAGGUAUUCAGAGAGAUGUCAAACUGGAAAGAAAAAAGAAGACCUGCCAGCCUCAAACAACACCCUCUUUCUUCGCAUUAGAAAUGGAAACACGUCCUCUGCAGGAAUUUUCCACUUAAUAGCUCCUGCUUUCCUACCGGGGGCCUCAGUGCACCACCACUGCAAUGCUGUAUUUCUUUCCACUGCAGUUUGACAUUUUGCAGCCAGAACAACGAGCGGCAUUCACUCCAUCCUGCUUUUUGAAAAAUGUAUCUCUACAGGCACACAGAAAGCACCCGGUGCAGCCAUCACCACAGGGAAAUGGCAAAGACAUUAGGAAAAAUAAGUCUGUGGUAAUAUCAAGAUUCCAGGAAAAGACUGCACAGUUUUUCAGUUGAAAUUGCAAAGUAGUAGACAAAUAGGUAAGCAUUUCCUUUCCAGUAUUCCCAAAGAUCUGACCUUUACUGGUGCUAAAUGAUUCCCAAUUAACCGUGUUCUCAUCACACACAGUACAAUUAAAUAAUCUUAUAAACUCCUACCAGUUUCUGUAUGUCUGCUACAGAUUAUAAACCAAAGAUCAAACUUUUAGGAUUUAUUCAUGUUGGAAAAUAUUUUUGAAUGUGCUUUUCCUUGACUAAAAAUUCUUACUUCACUAUGUCAAACAAUUUGGUAUGUACAAAAAAUUGUUUCCUGUACAUUGGUUAUCUCCUUUGUGGGGAAGCAGAAAUCUCAACAGUGACAUCACUUGCAAUUUAGACUGCUGGUGGCGAUCUAGUUAUUUGUUUCCUUGAGUCCAUGGCCUUUGGAGACAUGCCAUUUAGUCUUUGAGUAGUGGGAAACCUUUUGUGAAAUAUGGGGCUUUGGAGGGGAUGGGAGGGGUUUUCUUUAAAACAAGAAAAAUGUCUGUGGAUUUUGUUUGAACUUACAGUGUGUGAUUAAUGAUUCUCUAUUCACUGGAAAACUGUAGCUCUCAUUAAAUCAUUAACUGAAAAAAAAAAAAUAAGAAUUAGGACUAAGAAAUCCAAGGAUCGACCUUUUU
This 1395-nucleotide long non-coding RNA is filed under the name Numida meleagris (helmeted guineafowl). RNAcentral's name for it is "lncRNA (ENSNMEG00000005775.1)". The record is from RNAcentral. Lineage: Eukaryota; Metazoa; Chordata; Aves; Galliformes; Numididae.